RNAcentral lists this ribosomal RNA (253 nucleotides) under uncultured bacterium. Its description in RNAcentral is "partial 16S ribosomal RNA". It matches the Rfam family "Bacterial small subunit ribosomal RNA", at positions 524 to 776 of the family's 1533-position model. The record is from RNAcentral.
UACGAAGGGGGCUAGCGUUGCUCGGAAUCACUGGGCGUAAAGCGCACGUAGGCGGCUUUCUAAGUCAGGGGUGAAAUCCUGGAGCUCAACUCCAGAACUGCCUUUGAUACUGGAGAGCUUGAGUCCGGAAGAGGUGAGUGGAACUCCGAGUGUAGAGGUGAAAUUCGUAGAUAUUCGGAAGAACACCAGUGGCGAAGGCGGCUCACUGGUCCGAUACUGACGCUGAGGUGCGAAAGCGUGGGGAGCAAACAGG